UACGUAGGGUGCGAGCGUUGUCCGGAAUUAUUGGGCGUAAAGAGCUUGUAGGCGGUUUGUCGCGUCUGCUGUGAAAAUCCGGGGCUCAACCCCGGACUUGCAGUGGGUACGGGCAGACUAGAGUGUGGUAGGGGAGACUGGAAUUCCUGGUGUAGCGGUGGAAUGCGCAGAUAUCAGGAGGAACACCAAUAGCGAAGGCAGCUCGCUGGGACGGUAUUGACGCUGAGGCGCGAAAGCGUGGGGAGCAAACAGG
RNAcentral lists this ribosomal RNA (253 nucleotides) under uncultured bacterium. RNAcentral's name for it is "partial 16S ribosomal RNA". It matches the Rfam family "Bacterial small subunit ribosomal RNA", at positions 524 to 776 of the family's 1533-position model. The record is from RNAcentral.